This is an RNA transcript of Homo sapiens (human), 494 nucleotides long. It is a transcript of the gene named TPTE pseudogene 2, with no coding region annotated. The record is from RefSeq and is marked validated. NCBI's taxonomy places the organism in Eukaryota, Metazoa, Chordata, Mammalia, Primates, Hominidae. The transcript has 5 exons.
GGGGCGUCUCCGAGCGGCGGGCCGAGGGAGGGCGCAGCAGCUGCUCCCUGAACACUUUCUGACCCAACAGUCCCCCAGCGCCGGACGCGCCGCGCCCUGGCGGCUCUAGGGACCCCCCCCGCGCCUGCACUUAGCCCCGCGCCCGAGUCCACAGACAAACGAAUUUAAAGGAGCAACCGAGGAGGCACCUGCGAAAGAAAGCCCACACACAGGUGAAUUUAAAGGAGCAGCCCUGGUGUCACCUAUCAGUAAAAGACUAUUUGGAGUUUUCCUCGUCUUACUGGAUGUCACUCUCGUCCUUGCCGACCUAAUUUUCACUGACAGCAAACUUUAUAUUCCUUUGGAGUAUCGUUCUAUUUCUCUAGCUAUUGCCUUAUUUUUUCUCAUGGAUGUUCUUCUUCGAGUAUUUGUAGAAGGGCCUUUGAGGGGAGGGACUGCACCUGAGUACAGCACCCAGGCGUCUUCUGCAGCCCACAGAAGGUUCAGCUUAGGGC